AUGUUUAUCUCUUUAAUUCCUCUGUGAAUCUAACAUACAGAUGACUAGGUCCCAUAGGACACAGGAAAAAAAGCAACAUGUUGCAAACAAGUGUCAAAAUAAAGCACUGAAUUAGUCUUUAAGCCUUGCUAACCACUAAUUGAAGUAGCUUUGAUAAAAACUAUUUGAGGCCAGCACAGUGGCUCACACCUGCAAUCCCACCACUUAUGGGCAAGCAGUGAGGCUAAGGCAGAUCACUUGAGGUCAGGAGUUCAAGACCAGCUUCGCCAACAUGGUGAAACCCCAUCUCUACUACAAAUACAAAAAUUAGCUAGGCGUGGUGGCAGGCGCCUAUAAUCCCAGCUACUCGGGAGACUGAGGCACGAGAAUCACUUGAACCCAGGAGGCGGAAGUCGCAGUGAGCACUGCACUCCAGCCUGGGCUAUAGAGCGAGACUCAGUCUCAAAACAAACAAACAAAAAAACUUAUUUGAUAACCAUAAAUUGAUAUGCCUUACUUUUUUUUCUUUAAAUAGGAAGAGGGUUUCACCAUGUUGGCCAGGGUGGUCUCAAACUCCUGACCUCAAGUGAUCCACCCACCUUGGCCUCCCAAAGUGCCGGCAUUAUAGGUGUGAGCCACAGCACCCGGCCAAUUGAUAUACUUUUCAUUAAAGCUGUUUACAUUAGUCUCUCCCACUAAACUGGGUUCCCAGGCUUACAAGGGCAAUGACUGGGGAUCUCAUUCAUUGUCAUACUCUGUCUACAUGAAAUAUUCAGCAGGUAUCAAGUCUGCCAUUUUCCUUUAAAUUAAGAACACAGUUAUUUGGUUGGGCUGUAUUUGAUGGGGGUAGGGGUAAGGAAGGGGAAAAAAACUGAGGGAAAACUGUCCUCUCUUAAAUACAUAGGACAUGAAGAGGAACUGAGUUUGCUUUCAUUAUAAACUCAAGCCUGCCUCAAAAUACCAAAUUCUUUUCCCAUGUCCUUGUGCUUGCCAAACGCAUGAAUUUAGACUUACCCACAAUGUAAAACUCCAAAACCUUCAAUUUGGCCUAACUUAGAAUUCAUAAAUUUGGCUAAGCAAAUAAUAUGCAAGACUAAAUUCUGACAUUGUAUUUACCCUAACUAUGGUGUUUCCAAAUACAUUUUAAAAGAGCACCUUAACAGUUUUCACUUCAGACAAAUCAGAUAAUAAGGACACCCAGUUAAAGUCACUAAUCUAUGUUACUAGUUAAUAAUGGCCCUAGUACUAGAACCAUUCAAAUUACUUUCUUUAAAUAUUCAAAUUAAACUACCAUUCUCCUUAAUACACUGAUGUUCUCACAAACCAGUAGAGCACAACUCAGUAUAAUUUAAGUUUCUGUAGAUUCUUUCAAGGGGCCCUAUUACUUCACCACAACACUGUCUUAACCACAUGAAUUAGAGGUAUGAACCCUAAGAGUAAGAAUGCAUUCAGUCUCCAAUCUAUACUGGAUUAGUGCUACAUUAUAAAUUUAUUGAAGGUAAAGAUCAUUUUUUUUCCUACACAAAGCCUUAUAUUUAAGUUUCAAAGCCUCACAACUUAAACAUGUGAAAAUUAUAAACAGUCCCUUCAACUGUAUCAUUACUUAAAACUCCCAAAGUUCAGGAAAACAAUAAAUCACAGGUGGAACAGAUUCAAUAUGAGAAAAUGUAGCGGGAGUUGGAGAAUACAGUUUUUCGAGGGCAGAGGGGGCUGGCUUGCCCUUUUUACUAUUAUGUACACUACUACUACGUUAAGAUAACAAGCAUGGUUUUUAUGUUUCUUAAAACUAUCUUCUAAAAUAUAACAGUAAAAUACAGUAAAAAGAUACCUUAAGAGAAGCAUGGAAUGAGCCACAACCCUCUUAAUAAAGGAAGAAAAUCACAAUACUUAAGGAGAGACAACUGCAUCAAAUAUUACCGUGCACUAAAAUUAAUCUAACAAACUAUGUACACCUCUAGUUAAUUGUUUUCCCAAACUUUAGGGGGAAAGAUGUGAAACUCUCUAAUUCAGCAUAAACAGAUCAAUCCCAUUUUUGCCUGAGCUUCCAAAGUUCUGACAGCCUAACUACUCCACUGUGUCAGGAACAGUGUGCAGUCUUAAAGUACUGCAUCCACACAACCUGAACUUUCCUGCAAUUCAUGUUUUUGUUUUUAAUUGUCCUAAACACUAUCAAGGGAAAAAACAACAUUGGGGUUUCAGGAAAGAACUACGGUUUGCCAGAGAGAACAAGAUCUCCACAGGUAUUAUAAAGUCUCAAUGAUUCAACGUCUAUAAAGUUUCUUUAUAUGCCACUAUUUCUUAGUACCUUACCAGGUUACUUUGUUUUAGAUGACCUGUACUAUGGCCCAAAAAUGUUAACUUUCAACAAGACUCAUGGCCAGGCGCAGUGGCUCACACCUGUAAUCCCAACACUUUGGGAGGCCGAGGUGGGCGGAUCACCUGAGGUUGGGAGUUCGAGACUGGCCUGACCAACACGGUGAAACCCUGUCUCUAAAAAAUUAGCCGGCCUGGUGGCACAUGCCUGUAAUCCCAGCUACUCGGGAGGCUGACGCAGGAGAAUCGCUUGAACCCAGAGGCAGAGGUCGCGGUGAGCCAAUAUCGCGCCAAUGCACUCCAGCCUGGGCCACAAGAGCCAAACUCCGUCUCCAAAAAAAAAAAGAGAAAGAAAAAAAAGGAUUCAUGACCUAAUUACUUCUACCUGCUUAACCAUCUGCGUGAUCCCUCUUUCCAUCAUGGUUUCAAGCAAGUCUUAUUAUUCUGUUGCUUUUUUUCCCACAGCAGUAUUAAAUGCUGUCACACAGGUUGUUAACUCUCCCAGCUCUAUUUGGAAGUCUGUAUUAGACAGCAACAAGCAACAACAGACUUAUCACUGACUACAUUUCCCGGGCUUCUCCAGCAAUACUAAAAUCCCUUAGCCGAGAGUGCCUUCUUAUGACAGGUCUGGCCUGGGGAGAUAGUGAUCCACCUGUCCACUGGCUGCACUCUGCUGGUCCCACCUCUUAAAGUGCAAGGGACCUGAGGGACGACAGGCAGAAGGUCGAGUCUUACAUCCAUCCUCUCCCACCAUCUACAGCAAACCAAGUAAGAAAGGUGUCAAGGGAGGUCCCAAGUCCCAUGAGAACUAACCCAACAAUUUCCCACCUUACUUGCCUGUCAUGGACCAUUAGAAAUAGAACAGAAUUCUUAAGACACAAGAACUUCCUCUUUGACUUCAGAAGAGGAAAAAAAGCACGUACAACACGUAAGUGUAAAGCGAUAAAUUCUAAUCAACGCUGCAGAAAGAUAUGUCAUUUUAACACCAAUAAGCUCAAACUAACUUUCUAAAAACAUUUUCUAGGAUGGGUUAGCUGACAGAAAUCGCCCAUAUAAAGUUCUUAGCUUACAUUCUAUUAAACAUUUCUAGAGCAAGCUGUUUACUGUAAGACAAAAAACAGUAUAUCUGGACCUAAACCUAACCAUGAAAAAUGGGUCCACAGGCACCCUCUUAACCAUUUUUCCAAAGAAAUAUGUUUAAACGGCUUUACCAUGCAGAGCUAUGGCUUCCCGGAAGGGUUGCAAAUCAGUCUCUACAGAUGAGCUAGUUUCCGUUGAAGUAGCUCGGUUAGGGGACACUACAGUCAGUCUUGGGGGAGCUCUAGAGUUUCGUGGUGGAGGAACUUUUCCACACAGGAAGCUGAUCAAAUCUUCUCGACGAAUAGUUCUUCUGCGUUUUUUAACCCAAGCCAACAC
Molecule: long non-coding RNA, 3708 nt
Filed under: Pan troglodytes (chimpanzee)
Lineage: Eukaryota; Metazoa; Chordata; Mammalia; Primates; Hominidae
Description: long non-coding RNA NONPTRT006212
Source: RNAcentral